This is a long non-coding RNA of Sciurus carolinensis (gray squirrel), 794 nucleotides long. RefSeq lists it as uncharacterized. The record is from RefSeq and is a predicted model, not a curated record. The transcript has 3 exons. NCBI's taxonomy places the organism in Eukaryota, Metazoa, Chordata, Mammalia, Rodentia, Sciuridae.
AGUCAGCUAUUCCCGCGAUGAUUUGGCUCCGAUCAUAUCAAUUUCUUCAAAGCUUCAGCAAUAUUAUUCCAGCCAUGUUUUCUUGAAGAUUGAGGAGAUGCUUGGGGGAUACGAAAGCUGUGUUCACUGCAGCUUCAAGAAGCUGACCUUGAACCCGAGGCCUUACUCAUUCAAGACAAGUGCCCGAUCAUUGAGCUACACUCCUAGCCUGAAACUCAGUUUUAAUUGUAUUACAACCUACAGAAUCGAUAAUGGAAAAUGUGACAGAAGAAACUCCAAGCUGCUAUAUUAGUUAUUGAAGAUGUGCCUAAAAAUGGGAAAGAGUAACCUGGGUUAAAGGAAACGAAAAUAUUUCAGCAAAAGAGAUAACAUGUAAAGGAAAAUACCCUCUAGACAUUUAGGAUAGAAAUAUAGCAGAAAUUGAAGUUUAAAUUUCAGAAUGUGACAUUGGUCAUUUUUUAAACAACAAAUUUUAUGUCAUUUUAAAAUUCGAAAUGGUGUCACUGACUUUUGUAUCUAGACUUCUUAAGAUUUGAUGAAUUUUAUACUGUUAACGUGGAAUAGUUCUGAGCACAGGUCUCUGAAGCACUAAGACAUGUAUACUCUGUUCUCCUGCCUGCUGCCCGGCUUCAGGUACAGUGGUUGGUGCCCACUAGUAAUGCUCUGGCCUCCUCCGAUGCCACAGUCUCUCCCUGCAGGUUAGUGCAAUUUAACUAAAUCACAGCUUGAAUGUCAGCCACUACUGCAAACGUUAAGCCUUCCCCAUUAGCUGGGACUCACAUCACUCAUCUGCU